ACGUAAUCGAAGUCGGCGGGUGAAUUGGUCUCGAUGCGUUUUAAACUGAACCAAAAGAGGCUCGUAUGUGUCAACGACACGGCGACAUUGUGGACGUAAUUGAUUGCUUCAGAUUAAACGUUGCGUUGAUCGCGAUGUCCCAGGUGCCGCAGUGGCACUGCAUGCGCUACCGCAAGUUCGAGCUGGUGAAACGGUGCAGGGGCUACAAGAACAGCCUCCGAUUAAGGCGUACGUGAACGUAAGCCGCGCAUGUGUUGCGCUAUUUAUUUAUUUAUCGAUGCGGGAGGUGCAAGAACGGAUGCGAAACAAAUAUUUUAUUGUAAAAUCCAGUAGUGCAUAAAAAUAUUGUUAUCAAAGUGUUAAUAAAAUUAAAAUACAAAAUAAACUUCGACGGAUCCCGAGUUUGAAAUGAGAAAAACGAACGGUUCUUUUAUUCCACAAUGACGUUUAACAAAAACCCAACGGUUAUAAAUAAGUACACGUAAAAGGAUUUAUACCACACGCACACGCACGUUAUAUUACCACUGUCGUUUAAAAAAUAAGUUAGCACGUCCAUUUUUUUUUUUUGAUAUUUUGCACAUCCUUCGUGGGGAAUGUUUAAUACGAUCGGCCAUUUUGCGAUCGCAAACGUCCGCGACACUUUCGCGAAAUAAACCGAUCGUAAUCGAUUAUCUUCCUUCCGACAAACACCUAACCUAACAUUUAGGGAGGGGAGGACGGGGAUUUUACACGAAUAUUUACAAUCUCUCGCGGGCUCCCUGAUGCAUUUCGAAAACGCGCAGACAUAAAAAAAAUACGCUUUGGCACCGGAAAAAUUGUGGACUAUUUGCCAGAGUCCAAUGUUUGAUGACAAGGGGAACAUGGGCAACAGUAAGAUAUUGAAAUUAUUAUUAGUUUGUGCUAUUAUUUCACAGAUGUCUUUCCACAUAUGCGCAACUAACUUGAUGCAGUUAAAGGCAUCCCUCGAUGCAGGCUUCUCCAGCGUUUAGUUUAUACCCAAAACUUUUUUGCGUUGAAAACUGUAAUUUUAGCACAAUUAAAAUUAUAACAAAUUAUGCUUCUCAUUUUUAUUAUUAAAACAGUUUAAUAUUGAAAUCAUUUAACGGCAUUUUGUAAACACGAUAUUUGUUCAUUGAUAGUUUAUAUGCAAUAUUUUUGAUAUAAAUCAGUUACGUGUCAUAUUUUUUCAUUGAAACUGUUGAUUGAUAGUUAUUAUUAAAGCAACUGCAUAUUAACGGUUAAUAUAGUAGAAAUUGUUUUUUUUUUCAUUUUAUAUAAAAUAAGAAGUGAAUUGGUGAUGUAAAAUGUUCAUUUGCAGUUUAUAUACAAUAUUUGUGAUAAAAAUCAGUUAAGAACAGCUUGCGUGUGAUAUUGAUCAUUGUUGUUAGUUUUUAUUUUCAAAUGAACUGCAUAUUAAUUAAUAAUAUGGUAAAAAUUGUUUUUUUCCAUUUUAUAUAAAAUAACAAGUGAAUUUGGGAUUGAACUGUUCGUUGGCAUUUCAUAUACAAUAAAUGUAAAUCAGUUAAGAGCCGUUUACGUGUGAUAUUUAUCAUUGGAUCUGUUGAUUUUAUCAAAUAUAACGGUUAAUACGGUAAAAAUUGUUUUUUUUUUGCUUCUUCAUAUAUAAAAUCACAAGUGAAUUUGUAAUGUAAACUGUCCGUCAGCAAUUCAUUAGCUGUUUACGUGUGAUAUUUAUCAUUAAAAUUGUCCAUCGGCGUUUUAUAUAGGAUCACAAAUUACCGAUACUGAUACUUUUGAUAUGAACUGUCAUUAAUAUUAUCAGUUCACUGUCUUAUCUGGCGGGACUUGGCUGGUUUCCGGUAAAACUCUAGUCCCAGGGUAAGUAGGUAAAUAUGGUAGUUUGUAGUUCAAUACGUGAGUAACAGUGAGACAUUAUUUAGUAGGUAACACACCGUGUCUCGGUGUUACCCACAUUUUAGCACGAGUAAAAUUAUGAUAAAUUAUACUUUUUAGUUUUUCCGGAAAAUUGGUUUUAAGUGUCAAUAUUCCUAGAAAUCCACCCAGAAAGGCUAAUGUGGUAAAUUUUUCGGAGGAACAAAUGACAAGUGCAGUAGAAGGAGUUAUGUUUAAGUUUCCAGACACUAUCAAUGUUAUUAUAUAGUAAGACAGACAUGUAAAAAAAGAAGAAAAAAAAACGAAUACAUCGCAGAAAUGCGAUGUAUACAGUGUUUAAUGAAAAUCAAGAAAGUCUUUGGCCGACUAUAUUAUUAAAUGCUCCCAAAUGUUUUAUGGAAUGCCAUUAAUUGAAUGCCGAAAAUCGACCUAGGAAAUGGCACAAAUAAGAUAAAAACUACAAGCAAAUAGCAGGCUUGGAGUGGAUGCGGGGUUUCUUAGAAAAAUCCUAGAAUAUACAAUUUUUUUGAUAAUUGGAUAAACGAUUUUGUGAUGGUACUAGAAUAUUUAAUUUGAACGAAACAGGGACAGAUACUGUUCAAAAAUCAGCGGCUAAAUGAGUCAGUAAAGUCACCGAAUUUCCGAAUUGUUCCUAGAGGUCACCAAUGACACCAAUGCCAAUAAAUAUUACAUCUGCAUUUAAAAAAUGAGGUAUUUCCCUUUUUGACAGUCAGAUGGUUCUUCUGAUUACUUUGAUGUUGAAAUAGAUCCUACAGCAAUUGAAGAACUACACAAAUUUCCUGAGAUUAAUGAUUACGUCCUAGUAGAAUUCUCUCCACAAAACUUAAAAGGAAAACCCAUUUAUUAUAUUGGAAAAAUAUUAUCAUCAAAGAAUCAUGAAUUGGUAAUAACAUUUUUAAAGAAAAGCCUGAAAAUGAAAGGAAAGUUUUAUUUUCCAGAAGUUCCAGAUCUUGCCAUUAUCGCCAGAAGUGAAUGGAAAAACAAAAAGGCAGAAUUCUUAUUAUUCGUUUAAAAUUAAAUUUAACCUGGACCUUCGAUGAAAAUUACCGCUUUUUUACACUUAGCAACCAUUUUGUUGUGUUUCAAUGUGGAUUUUGAAUGUUAACAUAAGUUUUUAAAAUAAAUAAAGACUAGUUAAUAUCGCGUCUCAUAGUACCACGUAACUGUGACAAAUGACAACUUCAUUAUUUGUUAUAAUUUUCAUUCCAAACCACAUACAAAAAUCAAAUUAAAUCGGAUAGACAAAAGAACAGAUUUCUUUUUUUUUGUUUUAAAUAAUAUGAAAAGAAAAAUUAGUGUCCCAGUGUUACCCACCUUCCCCUAAUUUAUUAAAUCCACCCUUUAUAUUUAAGGUUCUUAGGAUUCCGUUGCAUUGAAUUGCUCGAAAUGGCAAUGAAUUUCGAACGACCGCGUACAUAAUUUAUUAAAAUAAAAUUUCCGUCAAAACGGAGUGAAAAUAAUCCAAAGGUUGAGAAAAUUAUUGCCCCAGCGUCUAGAAAAGGCGGUACGUUCUUUUAAACGAGGUCCAACUCGUUUUCUAUUUAAUUUUAUUUAUUUAAAUAAAAACGGAUCCGACCCCCCCCCCCACCCAAUUUAUUUUGGCACGAUUCUCUCUCGCUAGCCCUCUAUCAGCCACCCUAGGCACUUGGCAAUUAAUUUCUAGACAAUUUUUGCGAUAUUUUCGGCAAUAAUUACUUUUCGAGAUAUUUUUGCAAACCGUAGACCAUUUUCGACCAAUCUCGAUGGCUAAUGUAACUUAAAAACUGAAAAAUCAAAAAAUUAUUUUUUUUUUCAUAUUCAAUUCGCGCGACAGGUGAUAAAAAGGAACGUUAUUAGACGGUACCAAGCGUGUCACCGCUACGGUACGUUUGAAAUACUCGAUAGAGUUUUCGUAAUAAUUAUUUUUAUUUUCGCUACUUCACGGUUAAAAUUGGAAAGAAUUUAUUAAAAA
This is a long non-coding RNA of Cylas formicarius (sweet potato weevil), 3826 nucleotides long. RefSeq lists it as uncharacterized. The record is from RefSeq and is a predicted model, not a curated record. The transcript is spliced from 2 exons. Lineage: Eukaryota; Metazoa; Arthropoda; Insecta; Coleoptera; Brentidae.